CGUUAGCGGCGGACGGGUGGAGUAACGACGUGGGUAACUGCCUUAUACAGGGGGAUAACAGUUAGAAAUGACUGCUAAUACCGCAUAAGCGCACGGGAACGCAUGUUUCUGUGUGAAAAACGUGAGGUAGUAUAAGAUGGACCCGCGUCUGAUUAGCUAGUUGGUGGGGUAACGGCCUACCAAGGCGACGAUCAGUAGCCGGCCUGAGAGGGUGACCCGGCCACAUUGGGACUGAGACACGGCCCAAACUCCUACGGAAGGCAGCAG
RNAcentral lists this ribosomal RNA (267 nucleotides) under uncultured bacterium. RNAcentral describes it as "partial 16S ribosomal RNA". It matches the Rfam family "Bacterial small subunit ribosomal RNA", at positions 90 to 354 of the family's 1533-position model. The record is from RNAcentral.